RNAcentral lists this ribosomal RNA (330 nucleotides) under Protodrilus oculifer. RNAcentral's name for it is "partial 16S ribosomal RNA". It matches the Rfam family "Bacterial large subunit ribosomal RNA", at positions 1950 to 2524 of the family's 2925-position model. Lineage: Eukaryota; Metazoa; Annelida; Polychaeta; Protodrilidae. The record is from RNAcentral.
GCAAAGGUAGCAUAAUAAUUUGCCUCUUAAUUAGAGGCUAGUAUGAAUGGACUUUCUUUGCUUAACUGUCUCAAGCUUACUCCCGAAAAUUUUUCUCUAUGUGAAGAAACGUAGAUCCCCCAGAAGGACCAAAAGACCCUAUAGAGCUUUAUGAGCGACUUUAAGACAAAAGACACCCUCAUUUCAUUGGGGCGAUGAAAGAAUAAACCUUCUUAACUUAAAAUAAGCUACUACUUUAUUCGCUAUGCUAUUAAAGAUAAAGAAAAAGCUACCUUAGGGAUAACAGUCUAAUUUUCCUCAAUAGCCCACAUCUACAGGAAAGAUUGGCAC